UUGGCCUUGACAUACUAAGAACUUUCCAGAGAUGGAUUGGUGCCUUCGGGAACUUUAGAUACAGGUGCUGCAUGGCUGUCGUCAGCUCGUGUCGUGAGAUGUUGGGUUAAGUCCGCAACGAGCGCAACCCUUUUCCUUAUUUGCCAGCGGGUCAUGCCGGGAACUUUAAGGAUACUGCCAGUGACAAACUGGAGGAAGGCGGGGACGACGUCAAGUCAUCAUGGCCCUUACGGCCAGGGCUACACACGUGCUACAAUGGUCGGUACAAAGGGUUGCUACCUCGCGAGAGGAUGCUAAUCUCAAAAAGCCGAUCGUAGUCCGGAUCGCAGUCUGCAACUCGACUGCGUGAAGUCGGAAUCGCUAGUAAUCGCGGAUCGGAAUGCCGCGGUGAAUACGUUCCCGGGCCUUGUACACACCGCCCGUCACACCAUGGGAGUUUGUUGCACCAGAAGUAGGUAGUCUAACCGCAAGGAGGACGCUUACCACGGUGUGGCCGAUGACUGGGGUGAAGUCGUAACAAGGUAGGCGUAGAUGA
Molecule: ribosomal RNA, 535 nt
Filed under: uncultured bacterium
Lineage: Bacteria
Description: bacterial SSU rRNA
Rfam family: Bacterial small subunit ribosomal RNA
Source: RNAcentral